AUUGAACGCUGGCGGCAUGCCUUACACAUGCAAGUCGAACGGCAGCACGGGAGCAAUCCUGGUGGCGAGUGGCGAACGGGUGAGUAAUAUAUCGGAACGUGCCCAGUCGUGGGGGAUAACGUAGCGAAAGCUACGCUAAUACCGCAUACGAUCUAUGGAUGAAAGCGGGGGAUCGCAAGACCUCGCGCGAUUGGAGCGGCCGAUAUCAGAUUAGGUAGUUGGUGAGGUAAAGGCUCACCAAGCCGACGAUCUGUAGCUGGUCUGAGAGGACGACCAGCCACACUGGGACUGAGACACGGCCCAGACUCCUACGGGAGGCAGCAGUGGGGAAUAUUGGACAAUGGGCGCAAGCCUGAUCCAGCCAUGCCGCGUGCAGGAUGACGGUCCUAUGGAUUGUAAACUGCUUUUGUACAGGAAGAAACACUACUUCGUGAAGUAGCUUGACGGUACUGUAAGAAUAAGGAUCGG
This 468-nucleotide ribosomal RNA is filed under the name uncultured bacterium. Its description in RNAcentral is "bacterial SSU rRNA". It matches the Rfam family "Bacterial small subunit ribosomal RNA", at positions 30 to 496 of the family's 1533-position model. The record is from RNAcentral.